Molecule: non-coding RNA, 1639 nt
Filed under: Pongo abelii (Sumatran orangutan)
Lineage: Eukaryota; Metazoa; Chordata; Mammalia; Primates; Hominidae
Source: RNAcentral
CUUUAACGGCCGGUCAGGAACCCAACAAUUAGUCCCUUCUCGUCCGAGAGGAAACUCUGUGAGAAGAUGGGGCCGUGAGCACUCUCUUUAACAAGGACAUUUCCUUUUCAGCGAAAGCACCGCUCUGAUUUACCAAGUCUGGCGGACCGCACCGCUUUAAAGGAAUGAGGUUCCAGCGGCCGCGCCAAGCAGCGUACGCAGCCUAUUUUAAGUUAUGCUACCUUCGCCACAGAAACCAAGAGGGUUGUAAUGGUCCGGCAAGUGCCCACGUGUAACUGUUCUCCAUCACUUACCCACUCUAGUUCGGGAACACCCUUGUCGCCGCCGUUCCGGUAAUAACCUCUCCAACGCUUUCGAUGCUUCUACUUCUUCGGGAACAAGACAAGAUGGCGCCCGAUUUGUCUCACCCGGAAGUAAAGAAUAAUAACAUCCGUUCGUCAUCUGAAGCCAUACCAUCUCUCAUCCAGGUUUGUGAACACGUGAUUGUGCGGAUUGACAUGUUUCGGCGCCAUUUUUUUUGUGGGCAAAACUAUUUCUACUCUGGUCAACACCGGGCAACUGAACCAUUCCUGCACAUUACAUUUUAAUGUAGCUGGCGCCAUUCCCGACCCAUCUUUAUAGUGGCCAGAAAGCCAAAAACGUAAGUGUUCUACACUUAGGGCGCCUUCAAAUUUUUUACUUUAGCAACGUGAUCUUCCUUUAAGGGGAAGUAUGUUCUCUCCUAGAAACACUCCCGCCUUGGAGAAGGGGUUGAGUUCGCAACUCCACUUACAGACUACGGAGGAACCCCAGGGUCAAACCAAACCAAACCAAUUCUGGCCAGUUGCUUAGCGCAUUUCAAGUUGCUUAGUGCGCUGGAAGCGGCAUUUCAGGCAGUCCAACUUCUGGCUCGAACCUUCUCAGAGUAUUCCAAGGAUGGAAUACUCUCACUUGAGCGCUGCUGAGGGUUCCGCUUGAGGGAAACAUGAGUUUGUGAAGAAUGUUUAUUGCAGAUACAGUUCCACCACUGUACAUUAAGUAUGUGGAAAACAGAACAUAUCCUUUUGGUUCCUGGGUCUCCAUAACAGUAGGAGCAAACAUCCAAAUCUGAUACAGCACUUCCAGAGAGCCUGGUCUUGGAGGAUAAAACUUUACCUUGAUGGGACUUUUGGGCCCUGUCCCUUAAGAGUUGGGAUUUGGGGUUGUACUGCAGCACAACUCAGCCUAUCCUAAUACAUAUAGGAAUGCAAACAUCUCAGAUAUUUCUUCUUGGGUGCAAUUUAAAAUACGUAUGAAAUGGCUUCAGAAGUGUCCGUGAGCCUUCAAAAUUACAUACAAGAAUUAGGGAGAUACAUUUUUCUGGGAACAUACAGAUGUUAAGACUUCCCUUCUCAGUCUCUAUAUUGCCAGAAGAGAGGGCCCCAGAAUUAAAACCCCAUCCUUCCUACAACGCUCAGCUUUCUCUCUCGGGAAUAUCAGUACUAAUAUCACCAUGCCUUUUAUCUCUAGGAUAUAUUCAUCCCCUGUACCUUAAUUUCUGCAUGACUUCAUAGGGAGUCCAUAUUGCUUGAUUUUUCUCCAUAUCAUUACCAUUAACAUAAAUUUUCCUUACAUUCUUAGAAUGUGUAUUUCCUCACCUCUUAGAUUUCUGGCUCUUAUG